AGACGGGAAGAAAUCGUAGAUGAGAAUGGACCGUCAGACAUUAAUAUAGAUAACUAGCUAGUUAGUCAGUUUUCUAUAAAACAUAAUUGUAGUUUUGUGAAGUGAAGUGAAAAAGCAAAGCUGAAUGUGAUGCUAACUAGUUUAUUAUUUCACAAAAAUUUAAUGCUAUUUAGCUAGGUUGUCUAAAUUGUAAUAGCUAGCUACAAAUUCAGUAGCUGGCUAACUAGAUGACUAAUGUUGUCGCAGAUUUAAGGUGUUUAACAGGGGAAAGAGUUACCAGUGGUUUUAUAUAUUGUGUACACGUGCACUUAGCUACCUGGCUGUAUUUGUAUUGGUUAGUGCAGAUUUAAGGUGCUUAAGAGGGGAUAGUGUGUUUGUAGUGGUUUUUAUAUAUAUUGUACACAUGUACUUGGCUACCCGGCUGUAUGUGUCUUGCAGAGUAUGGAUCAGAGCCCCAGAAAGCGGUUUGCGAGAGCUUGCAACAACAACAAAACAUCCUGUGUAGUAGCAAUGUAAAAAUACAAAAACAGCACAUCACACCCAGGAGAUUUCUGUAGCACAGUUGGUAGAGCAUGGCGCUUGUAACGCCAGGGUAGUGGGUUCGAUUCCCGGGACCACCCAUACGUAGAAUGUAUGCACACGUUUUUGGAGUCGCUUUGGAUAAAAGCGUCUGCUAAAUGGCAUAUAUUAUUAUAUAUUAUUAUUUCCUUUAUCCCACCUGGCCUGUCAGAAGUCAAGAUAGAGCCACCAGCAUGUUGCUUACACCUAUCCAAUACUUCCAGAUCCACACAACGGGACAGUACGAGUGCCCCUACAACACCAUACCAGCAGGGGCCCAGGCAGUACUGGACAAAAUGCAAUACUCUUUGAGAGUAUUGUCACAUCGAGAUGUUUUACAUGAAGAAAUAUCUGCCAUUAAACCAUGGUCAAAUGAAUGUCAUUGGCAGCAGAGAACCGGAAGGAAAGGCAGCCAAAGGAGGAGUUGGCUUUGGGGGUACCUGGAGGCCAGUGUUUGUAACCACUGAAGAUGGACCUCUGUUUCCGAGGACAAGAGAUGAAAGAGUAGGUGGCAGGAAAGAUGAAGACCGAUGAGGCAGGAGGAGAGUAGAGAGAGGAGACAACAGGAGAGAUGCUGAGAGAGGAGGCAGGAGGAGAGCAGAGAGAUGUGGCGAACAUUGAAGAGGUGCAGGAGGAGUGAAACAGAGAGGAGGUGGGAGGCGAGAGUCAGACAGAGGAGGCGGAGAGCCCAGGAGCAGAGCAGAGAGAGGAGGUGGGUGGAAAUCAGUGGCAGGACAGGAGGUUAAGGAAGAUAAGUCAAAAGAGAGGACCACAGGGCUUCCAAGUAAGAAAUACACUAUGUACUUCAUAACACAAAGUAAAAAUGAUGUUUAAGUGCCACAAACUAUUUUUGGAUAACAAUUUGGCAAGUCAUUUGUGAAUGGGGGUCUACUUUUAGAAGAUCAGCCAGUGUUCUACUACUCGGACCCCAAAACAAAAGCCACAUGUUUUAAUUGUCCUGUCUUCUACCUCCGAGGUUUUCAUUCACUCCCACUGUGUUUAAUAAUCAUUGAAUUGGUACAAAUAGUUACUUCUUUAAAAUGCUGCUUUUGGUGGACGGUGUAGUGGUUGUUUCAACCGUGGCUGACAAGUGAAGGUUACAGUAGAGCUUUCUAAUAAAGUCAAUCUAAUGGUUUUGAAUUAUUGAAUGGGAGUGAAUGAGUGCAUUAGUCAGGGAAACGGCUAGCCUCGAAAUCCUAACUGAAUCAAGCUACAUUUCACUAAUGUUUCGCUUCACAAAUUCAGUCUGGAAUUCCCAUCGUAUUGAUGGCCUUUGUACAAAACGUAUUCAUAAAGCAAUUGGAGGUUUCGUGCUUUUAUCAUUAGGCCAAUGAGAAGGGGAAAAAAACGGAAUUAGUGAAGUGAAACGGUAGUAAAAAUCAUUGCGUAAGAGUGAAACGUUGUGUUGGAUCUCAACUCUAGGAGAAGGGAGAGAAUAAUGUCUUCAACAGAUAGUGUGGCGCCUUUGUCUGCACGCCGUGGUUAAUAGCAAGUUGUAAUAAUUGUCAGAAGACAAUGGGGUGAGAAUCAAUCGGAAUUGGGCAGCUUCUCUUCUUAACACCUAACUAGUUGCUCAGCCAACUAUGGGUACUUAAUCUAUUGUCACUCUAUCGAUUGUCCCUAAUAUUCAGGAGAAAAUAUCAAUUUUGAAACAUCAUGUAUCAAACAGGUAUGAUACACUUAUGUGUAUUGACUGCUGUAUUAAUUAAGUGUCUGAAGUUAUCUUUUGUUUUAGCUCAAACUUAUCCUAAAGGGUUUUUAACUUAUAGGUGAAUAUGCAAAUAUUUUGUUGCUCUGUCACAGCCUUUAUAGGUAGAUUCAGCUCGAUGACAUAGAUGCACAAAGUGAACAGCAGAAGUGGGUCAAUUUCCAUAGCAACUAAGAGUGUUGAAGCACAAGGCUUAACUUCUCUGCUGUUUUGGUCCCGUAACUACCACGUUGUAGCUGCGUGAAGCUAACCAGUGCACAUGCUCAGAUCCUUCGUGCGACUGUGUGAAUGCAAAGUCUUGCAUCGCGAUCGUUGCAAUAUCUGCAGUGCUGGUCAUGGCAACUCAAUAACACUAAGUCUACCUUUAAUUAUUCAAUGUAGAGAUAUCAGCAAGUGAUAUACUGUAUAUUCUGUGCCACUGAGCCCCCGAUGCACACUAUGGUUAUGGGGUGGGAGAAUUAUGUCUGAUUCAUCCCAAAGAUGUAUUGUGCCAAACUCUGAGCUACAAAAAACAAAAAAGUAAAUUUUGUGUGAGAAAAAGGGCCCAUCUCGCCUGCCUGGAGUUGAGGCGCUUGGCGCUGCGGAGACAUUCCAGGUUUUUAUGGUCUAUCCACACAAAGAAUGGAUGCUUCCGCCCCUUCUAACCAGUGCCUCUACUCCAACGCCAUCUUAACAGUGAGUCAUUCUCGAUAUCCCACGUUAUAGUUCCUAUCAGUGGGGUUAAGACAAUGGGAAGGGAAGGUGCAGGGAUCCAGCUUCUGGUCCUGGGCAGAACGCUGGGACAGGACAGCCCUCACUCCGAAGUCCGAGGCAUCGAACUCCACCAUGAACUGACGGGACGAGUCUGAAUGGAUUAAGAUUGGGGCUGUAGUGAAUCUUUGCUUGAGGUCUGAGAACGCCAGGGCAGCUGCUGGAGACCUUAUGAACGGAACCUUGGGAGAGUGCAGAGAGGGGUGAAGAAAGGGUGCUGUAACCCCAGACGAAACGACAGUAGAAAUGAGCAAACUCCAGGAAACAUUGCAGGUGCACUCUGGAUGUGGGUUGAGGCCAAUCCACCACCGCUCUCACCUUGUCAGGGUCCAUGUGAAUAUUCCCUGUAGCGAUGACGUAUCCUAGGAAGGAGGGGGUGGAGCGAUGGAACUCACUUCUCCAAGCCUUUAAAUAGCUUGGAAAAUUCCAGAAAAUUUUGUCAUGGCUUUAGAAGCUUCGGAUUGGCUAAUUGACAUCGUUUGAGUCAAUUGGAGGUGUACCUGUGGAUGUUUUUCAAGGCCUACCUUCAAACCCAGUGCCUCUUUGCUUGACAUCAUGGGAAAAUCCAAAGAAAUCAGCCAAGACCUCAGAAGAAAAAUUGUAGACCUCCACAAGUCUGGUUCAUCCUUGGGAGCAAUUUCCAAACACCUGAAGGUACCACGUUCAUCUGUACAAACAAUAGUACGCAAGUUUAAACACCAUGGGAUCACGCAGCCCUCAUGCCGCUCAGGAUGGAGAUGAAUGUACUUUGGUGCGAAAAGUGCAAAUCAAUCCCAGAACAACAACAAAGGACCUUGUGAAGAUGCUGGAGGA
This is a long non-coding RNA of Oncorhynchus keta (chum salmon), 3829 nucleotides long. RefSeq lists it as uncharacterized. The transcript has 3 exons. Lineage: Eukaryota; Metazoa; Chordata; Actinopteri; Salmoniformes; Salmonidae. The record is from RefSeq and is a predicted model, not a curated record.